GACAGGUUUUCCUACAUUAAAUCAAGAUUUUCAACAAGAGCCAGAUGAUUGUGUUGCUAAGGUCUUUAUAGCAGCUUGUGAGAGCAUUUUGACAGUACCUGGAUCAAUGAAAGCAUACAGCAAUCAGGGAGAAGAGACUCAUCUCCUCCUGACCUCAGAAAACAGCACUUAUCAGGCAUGUAAAACUGAGGCACAGAGUUUUGUCCAAGAAAUGGUAUGUGACGAGGACAAGAAAGAGGAGAAGACUGAAAGAAAGCAACUGGAAAAAGAGAGGUGCAUAGAAGAGCAGAGGCCUUGUUUGCAGGGUGAUAGUGAGGAUGAUUCUGGCUCUUCCAAGUUUGAUUAUUUAUAUUUUAGUAAAGGACACAAAAAGGCAAAUGUAACCUUUACUGAACUGAGUGAUCUAAACCUUGCAGUCAUCAAUGAGAACAAAAUUAGAGGUGAAGAUGAAUGUAAGAAGUUCUGGACUGAAAAGAACAUUGGAGUUACACCCAAUGAAUGUGCUCAUGGAGGCAGUACAGGACAUGUUAAAGGACCAUGGUGGGAUGUGGAAGUUGCCAGCAAAGAUGAUACCCUUCUUGCAGCAAAUGAAGUGACAAACAGGCAGAAGUUGUGCAAAAUGGAUGUUGAUUCAAAAAAUACAAGAUGCUCCCCCAAAAUGGGGGUCCCAGAAAGCCUGCAGUGGAGCUCAGCACCACAGAGUGGGAGCAGUGUGUCUUCUCUGCAAGUAUCACAGAGGCAUCCCUCCUGCCUAGCACAAAGGCCUGGAUUAAGUUCAUCUGAAGAUCAAGAGACUGGUAGCACAGGGGAGAUGUUAGGUGCUAAUAAAUCAGAACAAGGAGACACUGUCCAAAAAGGUGAAAUGUCUUCUGCUCCCCUGAAAUCUGUUACUGUUCAGAUGUCUUCAAGGCUGGAGUUUACUCCAAGAGCAAAGUGCACAGGGCAGAAUGCUCCUCUUGAUGAGUGCCUUGAUAGGGAAGAUCCUGUGGACUUCUCCAACAUGUUAGCGCACUGUUCUGAGGGAGCUGCUCUCCUACAGUCAGACCCAGGGGCUUUGAAGGGUGGUGUGAAACAGACCACGGAAGCCUCCAGCCAAACUGACAUCCCCGCCAGGAAACCACUAUUUUGUUCACCGCAUACUCAUCUGACAAAAUCAGCCUCUCUUGACAGCAUGGUUUGUGGCAAAUACAGGUCAUACUAUGGGGGUGAAGCCUCUGGCAGCAGGAGUGUGCAGGGCAAUCACUGCUGUCACUGCUGCUGUUGCCAUGGCUGCUGCCCAUGGACCUUCCCCGUGGCUGUCUCUCCCCAGCACCCAGUAGGCUGCUGCUCAAACCAUGUCAGUGCUGAGCUGUACCUCCUGAAAACAUUGAUGCUCCUACAGGACCCUGCAACACAUAACUCUGCUCUGUGCACCCUCAAUGAGAUAGAAGUGAUGAAGAGCUCCUGCCAGCACUUCCAGGAGAAGCUGGAUGAGAUUGAACAGCACCUGAUAGAACAGCAGGCACUGUUUUCCAGCACUAUGCCAGAUG
This 1529-nucleotide long non-coding RNA is filed under the name Melopsittacus undulatus (budgerigar). Its description in RNAcentral is "lncRNA (ENSMUNG00000021206.1)". The record is from RNAcentral. Lineage: Eukaryota; Metazoa; Chordata; Aves; Psittaciformes; Psittaculidae.